RNAcentral lists this long non-coding RNA (203 nucleotides) under Mytilus galloprovincialis (Mediterranean mussel). The record is from RNAcentral. Lineage: Eukaryota; Metazoa; Mollusca; Bivalvia; Mytilida; Mytilidae.
AUCUUUCGAUCUUACGUCAUUUUUUGUUCGAUAAAUCACGAGACAGUACGACACUAAAGGCAGUGUUUAUUUAUCAUAGCGAAUUUUCAAGUCGGAUGUUUAACGAUAGAUAUAUAAUAUAUUUACAAAAUUUCUGUCAUAAAAAAAAUUCACACAAUUAUCUGAGUUAAUUAACACCUAAAAUAUCAACCAAUAAUUUUUCC